Molecule: ribosomal RNA, 287 nt
Filed under: uncultured bacterium
Lineage: Bacteria
Description: partial 16S ribosomal RNA
Rfam family: Bacterial small subunit ribosomal RNA
Source: RNAcentral
AUGAAUAAGGAUCGGCUAACUCCGUGCCAGCAGCCGCGGUAAUACGGAGGAUCCGAGCGUUAUCCGGAUUUAUUGGGUUUAAAGGGAGCGUAGGCGGACGCUUAAGUCAGUUGUGAAAGUUUGCGGCUCAACCGUAAAAUUGCAGUUGAUACUGGGUGUCUUGAGUACAGUAGAGGCAGGCGGAAUUCGUGGUGUAGCGGUGAAAUGCUUAGAUAUCACGAAGAACUCCGAUUGCGAAGGCAGCCUGCUGGACUGCAACUGACGCUGAUGCUCGAAAGUGUGGGUAU